This 518-nucleotide long non-coding RNA is filed under the name Felis catus (domestic cat). RNAcentral describes it as "lncRNA (ENSFCAG00000041121.2)". The record is from RNAcentral. Lineage: Eukaryota; Metazoa; Chordata; Mammalia; Carnivora; Felidae.
UUAAUUGUGGCAGAAUUUGUCUGAGAAUUGCUUUUAUUGCAGCAUACAACAUAGUAGAAGAUUUCUGGGGAAGGUCUCUAAAGCUCUCACCUACCUGAGAUUAUUGAAGAAGGUCAUGAUUCUAGAUGGGCACCCUGGCUUGGGUCAGACCAGAGGACAACAUCGCUUUUAAAUCGGUUCUUUCGACUGGAAAAGUAACAACAAAACUGAAUGGAUAAAUUGAGUCCUGAAUGGAUGUGUAUCUGUCAUGUGGAUACUCUAAAGGAAAAAGUGAGAGUAAAAACCAAAAUGAACACAUUGCCUCUUUACUUAAUGUAGAAUAGAAUGACUUUAUUCAACGAAAUUGAUGAGAAGGAAGCAUAAUCUGGAGACACAAAAUCUACAGGGUGCCAAGAAAGUGUCUUGGAAUUCUCAACUCCACCGACAGGAGAGGGGAGCUGUAGGAUAAUCCUCCACAUAUUUGCAUAUUAGAAGAGCACCUACAAACUGAAGGACCAAAGAACUGGUGGUCUGAUAAA